Molecule: ribosomal RNA, 253 nt
Filed under: uncultured prokaryote
Description: partial 16S ribosomal RNA
Rfam family: Bacterial small subunit ribosomal RNA
Source: RNAcentral
UACGGAGGGUGCAAGCGUUAUUCGGAAUCACUGGGCGUAAAGGACGCGUAGGCGGGUUGCCAAGUCUGAUGUGAAAUCCUAUGGCUUAACCAUAGAACUGCAUUGGAAACUGGUGACCUAGAGUAUGGGAGGGGGAGAUGGAAUUAGUGGUGUAGGGGUAAAAUCCGUAGAUAUCACUAGGAAUACCGAAAGCGAAGGCGAUCUCCUGGAACAUAACUGACGCUAAGGCGUGAAAGCGUGGGGAGCAAACAGG